This 1738-nucleotide unclassified non-coding RNA is filed under the name Hevea brasiliensis (rubber tree). Lineage: Eukaryota; Viridiplantae; Streptophyta; Magnoliopsida; Malpighiales; Euphorbiaceae. The record is from RNAcentral.
GUCACAGUUAUAAAUUGAACAAGGGCUCCAGAAAUACUUUUACAAUCACAUUUCAAAUGUAGGAAUUUUGAAGUUCUGUUAUUAUUUGCACUACAAUAUUACAAACUAGUAGUAUACAGUAGUGGCACGAGGAACAAAUCUUAUCAUCAUUUCAUUCAUAAAGAACGGAAGCUAAGCGCGGAGCAAGGAGAACUUGGAGUGGAGAAGCUUUGAGCACUGUCAAUCCAAAGCUCUCACUCAUGUCAAUUGCUUCAUCUGAAGGCCUCUUCAUGUCAAACCCCUGCAGCAACACUGCUAUUACAAAGGGCACCACUUGAAGGGCCAAAGAUAUUCCAGGGCACAUUCUUCUUCCACUACCAAAUGGCAUUAACUCAAAGUGAUUGCCCUUUACAUCGACAUCCUUGUGGGUCGACAAGAACCUCUCUGGCUUAAACUCGUGAGGAUUUGGCCAUAUAUUAGGAUCGUGCUGAAUCUUCCAUAAGUUCACUAAUAAGCGAGUCCCUUUUGGUAUAUCGUAUCCCCCAAUGACACAAUCCUCCAUUGACUCGUGUGGUACAGAGAGCGGUCCAGCUGGAUAUAAACGUAAUACUUCUUUGACAAUAGCUUGAAGAUAAACCAAGUUCUUGAUAUCCGAUUCUUGGACCCAUCUGUUGUUGCCGACAUGAGCGUCUAGCUCAUCUUGAGCCUUUUUUAGUGCUUCGUAGUUGUUCAAGAGUAAACAUAAAGCCCAUGUUAAAGUUACGAUGGUGGUGUCUGUACCUGCCGAUAGUAGACCCAUGCAAUUAGCUUUUAUAGCAGUAUCGGCAUCAAAACCAGGCAGAUCUCUGUCUUCACAAAUGGAAAGCAUGACAUCCAUGAAAUCUUCUUCUUCACCAGAUUUGAUAAUUCCUCUCUUUGUUUUGUGCUCCGUUAACCAUUCUUCAACAACAGAGUCCAUUUCUUUAGAAACCUCCUUCAUCGCUUUCUCAUGGCCUCCAAUGUCGAGCCAUCUUAAAUAAGGUAAAAAAUCAGCCACAACAAAAGCUCCUAACAAUUCGAAAAAUCUUCGAAUUGCUUUGUGAGCUUUAUUUAUUCCUUCGUCCUCAUUACUCCUUCGCCCUUUUCCGAAUAAUAUUUUCCCCAUAGUAUUCAUAACUAAAUCUCCAAUCCAUUCCUUCAUCUCCAUCUUCACAACACCAUUUAAAUUAUUCUUCCCCCAAUUACUAUAAAUCUCUUUAAUACCUGAUUUUACCUCAAAUUCUCUGAUGUGUUUGAGCAUCUCGAUUCGUCGAGCGGAGAAAAGUUCAAUUGUGGCAAUCUUCCUUGUUUCUCUCCAGUAAGGACCGUAAGCAGAAAGUGCAAACAUAGCGUGUUUGUAGCCUACAAUCUCUGAAGCCAUGGAUUUAGGGCGACCUGCUAGGGCUAAAUCGUUAGUUGUGAAACAUUCUUUGGCUAAUUUGGGAUCGCUCACAACUACAACCUGAUGAACUCCAAGCUUCAUUCCGAAAAUUGGCCCGUACUUAUCUGCCAUGCGCCCCAUGAUUUUGUGAGGUAAUUGCUCUGUUUCGGAUCCACUCAAAAGGUGAAGAUGACCGAUAAUAGGCCAUGCUCCGCCAGCUGCAGGUACUCUUUUACUUUUACUAUGUAUUUUCGCUGAGAAAGCAUGUUUGCGAAGAAAGAAGAAAAAAACAGAGGAACUAGCUACCAUGAUAACAAUCAAAAAAAUAUCCAUAGUCGCUCCUCCGUUUGUGAAAGCAGC